UUUCCGUAGGUGAACCAGCGGAAGGAUCAUUAUUGAAUAACCGAGGUGCGAGGGAUGUCGAUGCUACGCCACGGUGGGUACGGCCGAGUGCCCUGACACACACCCAUCUCACCCCUAUGCGCACCACGGCGUGGGUCCCCCUCUGGCGUGUACGGAGGGGGGCUUACGUUUUCACACUAUCUUUGUAAGCAGCGUAGAAUGUAAUUUUUGUCUUUGCGAUAACGCAUUCAAUACAACUUUCAAAAACGGAUCUCUUGGCUGUCGAAUAGAUGAAGAAAG
This 279-nucleotide unclassified non-coding RNA is filed under the name plant metagenome. RNAcentral describes it as "partial contains small subunit ribosomal RNA, internal transcribed spacer 1, and 5.8S ribosomal RNA". The record is from RNAcentral.